UACGAAGGGGGCUAGCGUUGUUCGGAAUCACUGGGCGUAAAGGGCGCGUAGGCGGCCGAUCAAGUCGGGGGUGAAAGCCCCCGGCUCAACUGGGGAGGGUCACGCGAUACUGUUCGACUCGAAGGCAGGAGAGGGUAGUGGAAUUCCCGGUGUAGUGGUGAAAUGCGUAGAUAUCGGGAGGAACACCAGUGGCGAAGGCGGCGAUCUGGGCAGAUACUGACGCUGAGGUGCGAAAGCGUGGGGAGCAAACAGG
RNAcentral lists this ribosomal RNA (253 nucleotides) under uncultured bacterium. RNAcentral's name for it is "partial 16S ribosomal RNA". It matches the Rfam family "Bacterial small subunit ribosomal RNA", at positions 524 to 776 of the family's 1533-position model. The record is from RNAcentral.